GAAAGACUCGAGAGAAAAAGAGAAAUUAUUAAAAUGUUGAUAAAGAGAAGAUAUCGUGAAAUUGAUUUCGGCUGUAGUUGAGUAGGAUUGCCAACUUUGCAACGAACAUUCGUGUAUCUCAAUCGGACUCUUGAAUAAUGCUUGAUAUAUAGCUGUUUGUGCAAAAUUUAAUUACAACCUUGGCAAAAUUAUACCGAUACGCCCAAAUCCGGCGGCAAGUGCAGGAGUGUGGCCGCCACUGUGGCGCAUGCGCUGCCUACUGUUGGUACUCU
Linepithema humile (Argentine ant) is the source of this 272-nucleotide non-coding RNA. The record is from RefSeq and is a predicted model, not a curated record. NCBI's taxonomy places the organism in Eukaryota, Metazoa, Arthropoda, Insecta, Hymenoptera, Formicidae.